AACGAACGCUGGCGGCAUGCCUAACACAUGCAAGUCGAACGAGACCUUCGGGUCUAGUGGCGCACGGGUGCGUAACGCGUGGGAAUCUGCCCUUGGGUUCGGAAUAACAGUUAGAAAUGACUGCUAAUACCGGAUGAUGACUUCGGUCCAAAGAUUUAUCGCCCAGGGAUGAGCCCGCGUAGGAUUAGCUUGUUGGUGAGGUAAAGGCUCACCAAGGCGACGAUCCUUAGCUGGUCUGAGAGGAUGAUCAGCCACACUGGGACUGAGACACGGCCCAGACUCCUACGGGAGGCAGCAGUGGGGAAUAUUGGACAAUGGGCGAAAGCCUGAUCCAGCAAUGCCGCGUGAGUGAUGAAGGCCUUAGGGUUGUAAAGCUCUUUUACCCGGGAUGAUAAUGACAGUACCGGGAGAAUAAGCCCCGGCUAACUUCGUGCCAGCAGCCGCCGUAA
RNAcentral lists this ribosomal RNA (449 nucleotides) under uncultured bacterium. Its description in RNAcentral is "partial 16S ribosomal RNA". It matches the Rfam family "Bacterial small subunit ribosomal RNA", at positions 29 to 523 of the family's 1533-position model. The record is from RNAcentral.